Molecule: long non-coding RNA, 1283 nt
Organism: Capra hircus (goat)
Lineage: Eukaryota; Metazoa; Chordata; Mammalia; Artiodactyla; Bovidae
Gene: BARX1
Product: BARX homeobox 1
Exons: 4
Source: RefSeq, a predicted model, not a curated record
GCUCCGGGAGCCGCGAUGCAGCGGCCGGGGGAGCCGGGCGCAGCGCGCUUCGGGCCGCCCGAGGGCUGCGCCGACCACCGGCCGCACCGCUACCGCAGCUUCAUGAUCGAGGAAAUCCUCACUGAGCCUCCGGGGCCCAAGGGCGCCGCUCCCGCCGCCGCUGCCGCCGCCGCGGGCGAGCUGCUCAAGUUCGGCGUGCAGGCGCUACUGGCGGCGCGGCCCUUCCACAGCCACCUGGCCGUGCUGAAGGCCGAGCAGGCGGCGGUGUUUAAGUUCCCGCUGGCGCCGCUCGGCUGCUCCGGACUGGGCUCGGCGCUGCUGGCCGCGGGGCCUGGGCUCCCCGGCGCGGCGGGCGCUCCGCACCUGCCGCUGGAGCUGCAGCUCCGCGGGAAGCUGGAGGCGCCAGGCGCUGGGGAGCCGGGCACCAAGGCCAAGAAGGGGCGUCGGAGCCGCACGGUGUUCACCGAGCUGCAGCUGAUGGGCCUAGAGAAACGCUUUGAGAAGCAGAAGUACCUCUCCACGCCGGACAGAAUAGAUCUCGCCGAGUCCCUGGGUCUGAGCCAGUUGCAGGUUAAGACGUGGUACCAGAAUCGAAGGAUGAAGUGGAAGAAAAUAGUGCUACAGGGCGGCGGCCUGGAGUCUCCCACCAAGCCCAAGGGGAGGCCAAAGAAGAAUUCCAUCCCCACGAGCGAACAGCUGACGGAGCAGGAGCGCGCCAAGGAGGCGGAGAAGACGGUGGAGGCGCCAGGCGAGGCCAGCGACCGGAGCCACGAGGACUGAGCACGGCAGAGGGUGCGGGUCCAGGGGAACCCCAGCGCAGUCGGCGGCUCCCAGAAUCUGCCGAAAGCCGCGAGUCGGCCCUUCUGCGUCCACGCCGUUUGCUUUCUAAACUUUUUAUUACCUUGAAUGCGGACAGUUAGGGGCCAAACAAGGACAGACCCUGAAGCCAAACCGAGGCCCCAGUGCGCUCGCGGGCCCUAGCCUGGAAGCUCACAUCAGACGCGGCAGAAGGUCGCCUCCGCUCGGAGCUCAACGGCGCCAGGCGAUCCACGCGCGUUCACGCCCCGCUCCUCUCCUGCACCCCCCACUCGCCUCUGGCCGGACCCCGGGCCCGGACGCCUCCAGGCACACACGCGCUUCCACGCGUCGGGGACCCCGCGGCCCGGCGCAGGCCACCACGGCCGGAGACGGCGCCCAGACAAACCGACGUCGCUGGGGCCCCUACCCCUCUCUUACGAAGACGGUGAUUUUUUUUUUUUCCAAUAAAAUAUUUUAUGACACAG